CGCACACACUGCCUGCUGCUUCACCUCGAGGGCUGGCACACACGCACACACAUACGCACACACGCCAGCGCUGUCGUCGCCAUGAGCACCGAUCCGAAUGGCACUCGCUGGUCAAACUCCGAGAAGAACUUCGGAAAAGCGCUGCUGAAGAAGUCGGGGUGGACAGAGGGCGCCGGCCUCGGCAGGGGGCAGGAUGGCGUCGUCGAUCACAUCAAGGUAACCCGCAAGGAUGGCGUGAUGGGGCUCGGCUAUCAGGCUGGGGUGCAGGAGACGUGGACGACGCAGUCACUCGGCUUCGCCGACGUCCUCACACGCAUCAAGGCGUCCACUACCGCCGCCAUCAGCGACUCAGACGACGACGGUGAGGCGUCGCGGUCGUCCUCGCCGACGACCAACGGGGAGGCGAAGAAGAUCGGCAUGAGCCGCCACUACAAGAUGUACGCCAGACGCAACGCCCUGAAGACGGAGCUCAUCCACGGUGGCGACAGCGCCGAAACGGAGGCGAAACGGCUGGAGAUUCUCGGCAGCGCGGCGAUGAAGCGUCGGCGCGACGCGGACAGCGACGACGAUAACGACGGAGCGGGUCGGAAUUGCAGCCAGAGCACGUCCUCCGCCUCCACGCUCAAAUCGCCACUGCUGCUUCGGCUUAUGGCACGCAGCUCCAAGGACGAGCCGAAGCCGACGGCGGGCGACAUGACACCGGCGCAGCUCAUCACCGUAACAAAGCCGCAUCCGCGGCCUCCAAAAUGCACGGAUACGCCGUUCCUUGCCUAAUGAUGGCGGUGGCGAUGGUGGUGGUGGUGGCGAGCCCGAUGGCGUGGCUGUGAGACAUCAUGCGUUGCGAAGGGGCGGACUGCUGUGGGCGUGCGCGCGCGCUCUUUGCCUUCAUCUAGCCUUCUCUCUCCACACUCUCCCCGUGCGAUGCCGCUGCGUGUUGGCGGUCGUGGCGAACACGACGACACUGAGUCGUUUAAAGCACUCGGAAUGGAAAGGCGAGGUGGCGUCGAGCUGCCGCGGCAGCGGUGCGGAUGCCCCGUGGCGCGCCCGCCUUCCUCUCUUCCACCCACUCACCACACAUACACACACAAACACACACAUACCCAUCCAUCUUCUCUGAGCAGAGGCAGUAGAGAGCGCUUGUGGCGAGAGGUUUGUGAGUCUCUUGAGCGCGUGCCACGAGCACCACCCCCACCACUCUGUCUCUGCGCGUGUUGUGUGUGUGUGUGUGUCUCAUGCAUAAGCGGGAGAGCCGCGCCACCCCUUUGCUCCUCGAUUCCUUCAUCAACGCCUGCGCAUGUGGGCGCGUGGCAGAGGGGGGGGGGAUUGCUGCACGUAAGAUGCGCGUAACAAGCCCCGCAACAAG
RNAcentral lists this unclassified non-coding RNA (1363 nucleotides) under Leishmania donovani. RNAcentral's name for it is "gene:LdHU3.06.1200(CDS-product:G-patch_domain/DEx H-box_splicing_factor_binding_site_putative)". Lineage: Eukaryota; Euglenozoa; Kinetoplastea; Trypanosomatida; Trypanosomatidae. The record is from RNAcentral.